CACGUAGGGCGCAAGCGUUGUCCGGAAUUAUUGGGCGUAAAGCGCACGUAGGCGGUUCGUUAUGUCGGAUGUGAAAGCCCUUGGCUUAACCGAGGAAGUGCAUCCGAAACUGGCGAGCUAGAGUACGAAAGAGGAUCGCGGAAUUCCCGGUGUAGAGGUGAAAUUCGUAGAUAUCGGGAGGAACACCGGUGGCGAAGGCGGCGAUCUGGGUCGAUACUGACGCUGAGGUGCGAAAGCGUGGGGAGCAAACAGG
Molecule: ribosomal RNA, 253 nt
Filed under: uncultured bacterium
Lineage: Bacteria
Description: partial 16S ribosomal RNA
Rfam family: Bacterial small subunit ribosomal RNA
Source: RNAcentral